GCCCAUUUGGAGCAGUGGUUAGCUCGCUCGUCUCCGGUGUCUGUACUCCUGGAUAGCGAGAUGUCAGGGGUUCGAAUCCCCUAAUGGGUG
RNAcentral lists this transfer RNA (90 nucleotides) under Xylaria bambusicola. RNAcentral describes it as "tRNA-Arg". It matches the Rfam family "tRNA". Rfam says of the family: Transfer RNA (tRNA) molecules are approximately 80 nucleotides in length. The record is from RNAcentral. Lineage: Eukaryota; Fungi; Ascomycota; Sordariomycetes; Xylariales; Xylariaceae.